GUCCAUUUUCCGUUGGAACUUUACCACGCUGCAGACGGGGGUUGUGAAUUGCAUAGUGUAGAAUUCCUUCCCUUUAGUCUUCACUGCAGCAUCCAUUUGGCUUGCAUAUUGUAGAAGCCUUGGAGGUUGUCACCAGGAAAUGGGCCAAUGAAGUUUUUCAAUUAAAAAUCUUUUAAAAAUAUUUAAUUUACAAAUAUUUUUAUUAGGUUGAAAAACUUAGUCUUUUAUUUAGCAGAUGCCGCUAGGCACCUACUACCAUCUCGUCAGUUGCGGUGGGAGAUGGAUAUGUCGAAAAUUUUUACCUGGGCCAGAGAAAAGCAGCCUAUGCAGUCUCUGAUGAACCUCUAACAAGAGGUGAAAUCGUCGAUAAGAGUGCUGGCUGCACUCUCUGAGCUGAGUAAAAAUUAAG
This 409-nucleotide long non-coding RNA is filed under the name Diabrotica virgifera virgifera (western corn rootworm). Its description in RNAcentral is "uncharacterized LOC126879611". The record is from RNAcentral. Lineage: Eukaryota; Metazoa; Arthropoda; Insecta; Coleoptera; Chrysomelidae.